RNAcentral lists this ribosomal RNA (460 nucleotides) under uncultured bacterium. RNAcentral describes it as "partial 16S ribosomal RNA". It matches the Rfam family "Bacterial small subunit ribosomal RNA", at positions 338 to 795 of the family's 1533-position model. The record is from RNAcentral.
CCUACGGGAGACAGCAGUGAGGAAUAUUGGUCAAUGGCCGUAAGGCUGAACCAGCCAAGUCGCGUGAAGGAAGAAGGAUCUAUGGUUUGUAAACUUCUUUUAUAGGGGAAUAAAGGUAUCCACGGGUGGAUAUUUGCAUGUACCCUAUGAAUAAGCAUCGGCUAACUCCGUGCCAGCAGCCGCGGUAAUACGGAGGAUGCGAGCGUUAUCCGGAUUUACUGGGUUUAAAGGGUGCGUAGGUUGUUUUUUAAGUCAGCGGUGAAAGUUUGUGGCUCAACCAUAAAAUUGCCGUUGAAACUGGAAGACUUGAGUGUGUUUGAGGUAGGCGGAAUGCGUGGUGUAGCGGUGAAAUGCAUAGAUAUCACGCAGAACUCAGAUUGCGAAGGCAGCUUACUAAGCCAUAACUGACACUGAAGCACGAAAGCGUGGGGAUCAAACAGGAUUAGAUACCCCAGUAGUC